AUUGAACGCUGGCGGCAGGCUUAACACAUGCAAGUCGAGCGGGGGAAGGUAGCUUGCUACUGGACCUAGCGGCGGACGGGUGAGUAAUGCUUAGGAAUCUGCCUAUUAGUGGGGGACAACAUUUCGAAAGGAGUGCUAAUACCGCAUACGUCCUACGGGAGAAAGCAGGGGAUCUUCGGACCUUGCGCUAAUAGAUGAGCCUAAGUCGGAUUAGCUAGUUGGUGGGGUAAAGGCCUACCAAGGCGACGAUCUGUAGCGGGUCUGAGAGGAUGAUCCGCCACACUGGGACUGAGACACGGCCCAGACUCCUACGGGAGGCAGCAGUGGGGAAUAUUGGACAAUGGGCGGAAGCCUGAUCCAGCCAUGCCGCGUGUGUGAAGAAGGCCUUAUGGUUGUAAAGCACUUUAAGCGAGGAGGAGGCUACUGAGACUAAUACUCUUGGAUAGUGGACGUUACUCGCAGAAUAAGCACCGGCUAACUCUGUGCCAGCAGCCGCGGUAA
RNAcentral lists this ribosomal RNA (501 nucleotides) under uncultured bacterium. Its description in RNAcentral is "partial 16S ribosomal RNA". It matches the Rfam family "Bacterial small subunit ribosomal RNA", at positions 30 to 523 of the family's 1533-position model. The record is from RNAcentral.